AAUGGGCGCAAGCCUGAUCUAGCCAUGCCGCGUGAGUGAUGAAGGCCCUAGGGUCGUAAAGCUCUUUCGCCGGGGAUGAUAAUGACAGUACCUGGUAAAGAAACCCCGGCUAACUCCGUGCCAGCAGCCGCGGUAAUACGGAGGGGGUUAGCGUUGUUCGGAAUUACUGGGCGUAAAGCGCGCGUAGGCGGAUUAGAAAGUUGGGGGUGAAAUCCCAGGGCUCAACCCUGGAACUGCCUCCAAAACUACUAGUCUAGAGUUCGAGAGAGGUGAGUGGAACUCCGAGUGUAGGGGUGAAAUUCGUAGAUAUUCGGAAGAACACCAGUGGCGAAGGCGGCUCACUGGCUCGAUACUGACGCUGAGGUGCGAAAGUGUGGGGAGCAAACAGGAUU
This 392-nucleotide ribosomal RNA is filed under the name uncultured Gammaproteobacteria bacterium. RNAcentral describes it as "bacterial SSU rRNA". It matches the Rfam family "Bacterial small subunit ribosomal RNA", at positions 370 to 779 of the family's 1533-position model. Lineage: Bacteria; Pseudomonadati; Pseudomonadota; Gammaproteobacteria. The record is from RNAcentral.